GUAGGGAAUAUUGGGCAAUGGAGGCAACUCUGACGCAGCCAUGCCGCGUGCAGGAAGAAGGCGCUACGCGUUGUAAACUGCUUUUAACCGGGAAGAAACCCCAGGACGUGUCCUGGGUUGACGGUACCGGAGGAAUAAGCACCGGCUAACUUCGUGCCAGCAGCCGCGGUAAUACGAAGGGUGCAAGCGUUAUCCGGAUUCAUUGGGUUUAAAGGGUGCGUAGGCGGAGCGUUAAGUCAGUGGUGAAAUCCUGCAGCUUAACUGUAGACUUGCCAUUGAUACUGGCGCUCUUGAGUGCGCUUGAAGUGGGCGGAAUGUGCCGUGUAGCGGUGAAAUGCUUAGAUAUGGCACAGAACACCAAUUGCGAAGGCAGCUCACUAAGGCGAUACUGACGCUGAGGCACGAAAGCGUGGGGAUCGAACAGGAUUAGAAACCCUGGUAGUCC
This 445-nucleotide ribosomal RNA is filed under the name uncultured bacterium. RNAcentral describes it as "partial 16S ribosomal RNA". It matches the Rfam family "Bacterial small subunit ribosomal RNA", at positions 354 to 796 of the family's 1533-position model. The record is from RNAcentral.